CACGUAGGGUGCGAGCGUUGUCCGGAAUUAUUGGGCGUAAAGAGCUCGUAGGCGGUGUGUCGCGUCGGCCGUGAAAACCUGCAGCUUAACUGUGGGCUUGCGGUCGAUACGGGCAUCACUGGAGUUCGGCAGGGGAGACUGGAAUUCCUGGUGUAGCGGUGGAAUGCGCAGAUACCAGGAGGAACACCAAUAGCGAAGGCAGCUCGCUGGGACGGUACUGACGCUAAGGCGCGAAAGCGUGGGGAGCGAACAGG
This 254-nucleotide ribosomal RNA is filed under the name uncultured bacterium. Its description in RNAcentral is "partial 16S ribosomal RNA". It matches the Rfam family "Bacterial small subunit ribosomal RNA", at positions 524 to 776 of the family's 1533-position model. The record is from RNAcentral.